UCCGUAGGCGGUGUGGCAAGUCGGUAGUGAAAUCUCUCGGCUUAACUGAGAGGCUGCUGCCGAAACUGCCAUGCUCGAGUGCGAGAGAGGCGAGUGGAAUUACGGGUGUAGCGGUGAAAUGCGUAGAUAUCCGUAGGAACAUCCGAGGCGAAAGCGGCUCGCUGGAUCGCAACUGACGCUGAGGGACGAAAGCUAGGGGAGCAAACAGGAUUAGAUACCCUGGUAGUCCUAGCCCUAAACCAUCAGGACUUGGGGUUUGCCCUGUACGGGGCAAGUCCCGGGGCUAACGCGUUAAGUCCUGCGCCUGGGGAGUACGGUCGCAAGGCUGAA
This 330-nucleotide ribosomal RNA is filed under the name uncultured bacterium. RNAcentral describes it as "bacterial SSU rRNA". It matches the Rfam family "Bacterial small subunit ribosomal RNA", at positions 568 to 898 of the family's 1533-position model. The record is from RNAcentral.